AAUUCAAUGAUUUCAACUUCACCGCUGACCAGCCACGUCUCAACGCCCUGGAGGGAUAUGCCCCUGAUCUCCGCCAGCCAGAGCAUCUGCUAAUAAGUAU
Drosophila biarmipes is the source of this 100-nucleotide small nucleolar RNA. RefSeq annotates it as small nucleolar RNA snoM1. NCBI's taxonomy places the organism in Eukaryota, Metazoa, Arthropoda, Insecta, Diptera, Drosophilidae. The transcript has a single exon. The record is from RefSeq and is a predicted model, not a curated record.